RNAcentral lists this ribosomal RNA (405 nucleotides) under uncultured bacterium. Its description in RNAcentral is "bacterial SSU rRNA". It matches the Rfam family "Bacterial small subunit ribosomal RNA", at positions 355 to 775 of the family's 1533-position model. The record is from RNAcentral.
CAAGGAGUUUUCCGCAAUGGGCGAAAGCCUGACGGAGCAACGCCGCGUGGGGGAUGACGCCCUUCGGGGUGUAAACCCCUUUUCUUGGGGACGAAGCAGUGACGGUACCCGAGGAAGAAGGCCCGGCUAACUACGUGCCAGCAGCCGCGGUAAUACGUAGGGGCCGAGCGUUGUCCGGAGUUACUGGGCGUAAAGCGCGCGCAGGCGGCUCGUCAAGCCUGACGUGAAAGCCCCCGGCUCAACCGGGGAGGGUCGUCGGGGACUGGCGAGCUUGAGGUCGGCAGGGGCUGGUGGAAUUCCCGGUGUAGUGGUGAAAUGCGUAGAGAUCGGGAGGAACACCCGUGGCGAAGGCGGCCAGCUGGGCCGGACCUGACGCUGAGGCGCGAAGGCGUGGGGAGCGAACGG